CCACUAUGCUUAAUUGUAAACAAUGAUGAUACUAUUACAAACACCAUCCGCCAGGGGACUACGAGCACUAGCUUAAAACCCAAAGGACUUGGCGGUGCCUCAGACCCACCUAGAGGAGCCUGUUCUAUAACCGAUAAUCCCCGUUGAACCUCACCACUUCUUGUUUAUCCAGCCUAUAUACCGCCGUCGCCAGCUUACCUCAUGAGAGACUAAAAGUAAGCCAAACGAGUAAUACUCAACACGUCAGGUCGAGGUGUAGCAAAUGGAGUGGGAAGAAAUGGGCUACAUUUUCUGACCCAGAAUACAACGAAAAGUGUCAUGAAAAAACACAACUGAAGGUGGAUUUAGCAGUAAAAAGAAAACAGAGUGUCUU
RNAcentral lists this ribosomal RNA (373 nucleotides) under Congriscus sp. EXB91. RNAcentral's name for it is "partial 12S ribosomal RNA". It matches the Rfam family "Bacterial small subunit ribosomal RNA", at positions 787 to 1361 of the family's 1533-position model. The record is from RNAcentral. Lineage: Eukaryota; Metazoa; Chordata; Actinopteri; Anguilliformes; Congridae.